RNAcentral lists this ribosomal RNA (277 nucleotides) under uncultured prokaryote. RNAcentral's name for it is "partial 16S ribosomal RNA". It matches the Rfam family "Bacterial small subunit ribosomal RNA", at positions 524 to 801 of the family's 1533-position model. The record is from RNAcentral.
UACGUAGGGAGCGAGCGUUAUCCGGAUUCAUUGGGCGUAAAGCGCGCGUAGGCGGCUGCCUAAGCGGAACCUCUAAUCCUGGGGCUCAACCUCAGGCCGGGUUCCGAACUGGGCGGCUCGAGUGCGGUAGGGGCAGGUGGAAUUCCCGGUGUAGCGGUGGAAUGCGCAGAUAUCGGGAGGAACACCGAUGGCGAAGGCGGCUUACUGGACGAAGACUGACGUUGAGGCUCGAAAGCGUGGGGAGCAAACAGGAUUAGAUACCCCGGUAGUCCCUGAG